GCACUGCUGAAGAGUCCCAAACAGGACGAAACCUCAGUCAAAUGC
Molecule: non-coding RNA, 45 nt
Filed under: Echinostoma caproni
Lineage: Eukaryota; Metazoa; Platyhelminthes; Trematoda; Plagiorchiida; Echinostomatidae
Source: RNAcentral